Molecule: ribosomal RNA, 599 nt
Filed under: uncultured Lachnospiraceae bacterium
Lineage: Bacteria; Bacillati; Bacillota; Clostridia; Lachnospirales; Lachnospiraceae
Description: bacterial SSU rRNA
Rfam family: Bacterial small subunit ribosomal RNA
Source: RNAcentral
CAGUGGCAAACGGGUGAGUAACACGUAAACAACCUGCCUUCAGAGGGGGAUAACGUCCUGAAAAGGACGCUAAUACCGCAUGAUAUAUUUGUGCCGCAUGGUAUGGAUAUCAAAGGAGCAAUCCGCUGGAAGAUGGACUCGCGUCCGAUUAGCUAGUUGGAGGGGUAACGGCCCACCAAGGCGACGAUCGGUAGCCGGACUGAGAGGUUGAACGGCCACAUUGGGACUGAGACACGGCCCAGACUCCUACGGGAGGCAGCAGUGGGGGAUAUUGCGCAAUGGGGGAAACCCUGACGCAGCAACGCCGCGUGAAGGAAGAAGGUUUUCGGAUUGUAAACUUCUUUUCUAAGGGACGAAGAAGUGACGGUACCUUAGGAAUAAGCUCCGGCUAACUACGUGCCAGCAGCCGCGGUAAUACGUAGGGAGCAAGCGUUGUCCGGAUUUACUGGGUGUAAAGGGUGCGUAGGCGGCAAUGCAAGUCAGAUGUGAAAUGCACGGGCUCAACCCGUGAGCUGCAUUUGAAACUGUGUUGCUUGAGUGAGGUAGAGGCAGGCGGAAUUCCCGGUGUAGCGGUGAAAUGCGUAGAGAUCGGGAGGAAC